This 246-nucleotide ribosomal RNA is filed under the name uncultured bacterium. RNAcentral describes it as "partial 16S ribosomal RNA". It matches the Rfam family "Bacterial small subunit ribosomal RNA", at positions 524 to 768 of the family's 1533-position model. The record is from RNAcentral.
UACGAAGGGGGCUAGCGUUGCUCGGAAUUACUGGGCGUAAAGCGCACGUAGGCGGAUUGUUAAGUCGGGGGUGAAAUCCUGGAGCUCAACUCCAGAACUGCCUUCGAUACUGGCGAUCUCGAGUCCGGGAGAGGUCGAGUGGAACUGCGAGUGUAGAGGUGAAAUUCGUAGAUAUUCGCAAGAACACCAGUGGCGAAGGCGGCUCACUGGCCCGGUACUGACGCUGAGGUGCGAAAGCGUGGGGAG